UUGACAAGCAAGUGACCCUCAUUUUAAUUAGAUAGAGACCACUUGGUUCACAUUAAGCAUAUUUCCAUCUGCUUUAAUAUAUUUUUUGACUGUCAUUCAACAAUUAUCUCUUAAUAGGUUGACAGGUGAAGGCACAUAUGAGACAACAUCUUCAUCGAAGGUGGUAUAUGCACAGAAAGUGGCCCUGAUCGUUUCAGAGCUAAAGCAAUAUGUUAUCGCUGCCGACCCUCAGAUAAUUGAGUUUCUUUGACCGGAAUUCUGCCAGGCUUUGUUAAAGAUGAGGAUGAAGAGGUUCCUGAUGCUCAACUUCCUGGAGUGAAUGCACUAGCUUCGAAUGGAGCUGCUGAUGAGAACUCCAAUGUUGCGCCCCACCAUCCAUGUCUGCUGAUCCAGCUGCCGAAGGUGAACCAUCAACCAAACAGCAACUUGAUCCGAGCCAGAGUGGAUCCAAGAAUGCACGCUUGGCAUAAGUUCACGUAGAUACCUUUGAUAACCAUUGAAUACUUAUCACGUGGAUACCCUUAACAAAAGUAUUAAUGCUUUAGCAUCUUUUUCUACUUUUGUUUUCAACUCACUGUAGUGAUCAGUGUUUGAAUUAUUAAUGCAAGUUUAUUUUAUACAGGCAA
Molecule: long non-coding RNA, 626 nt
Organism: Brassica rapa (field mustard)
Lineage: Eukaryota; Viridiplantae; Streptophyta; Magnoliopsida; Brassicales; Brassicaceae
Source: RefSeq, a predicted model, not a curated record